Molecule: ribosomal RNA, 496 nt
Filed under: uncultured bacterium
Lineage: Bacteria
Description: partial 16S ribosomal RNA
Rfam family: Bacterial small subunit ribosomal RNA
Source: RNAcentral
AUGAACGCUGGCGGCGUGCCUAAUACAUGCAAGUCGAGCGAACAGAUGAGGAGCUUGCUCCUCUGACGUUAGCGGCGGACGGGUGAGUAACACGUGGAUAACCUACCUAUAAGCCUGGGAUAACUUCGGGAAACCGGAGCUAAUACCGGAUAAUAUAUUGAACCGCAUGGUUCAAUAGUGAAAGACGGUUUUGCUGUCACUUAUAGAUGGAUCCGCGCCGCAUUAGCUAGUUGGUAAGGUAACGGCUUACCAAGGCGACGAUGCGUAGCCGACCUGAGAGGGUGAUAGGCCACACUGGAACUGAGACACGGUCCAGACUCCUACGGGAGGCAGCAGUAGGGAAUCUUCCGCAAUGGGCGAAAGCCUGACGGAGCAACGCCGCGUGAGUGAUGAAGGUCUUCGGAUCGUAAAACUCUGUUAUUAGGGAAGAACAAAUGUGUAAGUAACUAUGCACGUCUUGACGGUACCUAAUCAGAAAGCCACGGCUAACUACGUG